UGCAGUCAGUGACACAACGUACGUGAGAGUAGAGCGUGUUUAAAUUUUUUUGUUGCUGUUUUGUGUCGUGUAGUGCCGUCGUCGUUCGUAUCGACGUAUUUGUAAGUGCGCGUAGCCCCAAAAUAGUUGUAAAUGCCGUCGCUAUUUCAUAUAAAUGUACAAAUGUUGCAUAUGAUAAAUUAUGUUAUUUAUUAAAAUUUGUAGCCGCACAGCGGUGAUUAAAAAAGGCAACGAUUUGGGCAACAGUAGCAGUACCAACAACAACAGCAACAUUAAAUGCCACAAAUCAGUACAAUAGUGGCAUGCGAACACUAAAGA
Ceratitis capitata (Mediterranean fruit fly) is the source of this 318-nucleotide long non-coding RNA. RefSeq lists it as uncharacterized. Lineage: Eukaryota; Metazoa; Arthropoda; Insecta; Diptera; Tephritidae. The record is from RefSeq and is a predicted model, not a curated record. The transcript has 2 exons.